GUCGAGAAUAAUUCACAAUGGACGAAAGUCUGAUGGUGCAACGCCGCGUGGAGGAUAAGGUCUUCGGAUUGUAAACUCCUGUCAUGCGUGAACAAGGUUGCUUGGUUAAUACCUGGGCAAAUUGAUGGUAACGCAAGAGGAAGAGACGGCUAACUCUGUGCCAGCAGCCGCGGUAAUACAGAGGUCUCAAGCGUUGUUCGGAAUCACUGGGCGUAAAGGGUGCGUAGGUGGCGUGGUAAGUCAGAUGUGAAAGCCCGGGGCUCAACCUCGGAACUGCAUCCGAUACUGCCAUGCUAGAGUACUGGAGAGGUGACUAGAAUUCUCGGUGUAGCAGUGAAAUGCGUAGAUAUCGAGAGGAAUACCAAAGGCGUAGGCAGGUCACUGGACAGUUACUGACACUGAGGCACGAAGGCCAGGGGAGCGAACGGGAUUAGAAACCCGGGUAGUCC
RNAcentral lists this ribosomal RNA (449 nucleotides) under uncultured bacterium. RNAcentral's name for it is "partial 16S ribosomal RNA". It matches the Rfam family "Bacterial small subunit ribosomal RNA", at positions 354 to 796 of the family's 1533-position model. The record is from RNAcentral.